GUGGGGAUUAGUGGCGAACGGGUGAGUAACACGUGGGCAAUCUGCCCUGCACUCUGGGACAAGCCCUGGAAACGGGGUCUAAUACCGGAUACUGACCCGCCUGGGCAUCCAGGCGGUUCGAAAGCUCCGGCGGUGCAGGAUGAGCCCGCGGCCUAUCAGCUUGUUGGUGAGGUAACGGCUCACCAAGGCGACGACGGGUAGCCGGCCUGAGAGGGCGACCGGCCACACUGGGACUGAGACACGGCCCAGACUCCUACGGGAGGCAGCAGUGGGGAAUAUUGCACAAUGGGCGCAAGCCUGAUGCAGCGACGCCGCGUGAGGGAUGACGGCCUUCGGGUUGUAAACCUCUUUCAGCAGGGAAGAAGCGCAAGUGACGGUACCUGCAGAAGAAGCGCCGGCUAACUACGUGCCAGCAGCCGCGGUAAUACGUAGGGCGCGAGCGUUGUCCGGAAUUAUUGGGCGUAAAGAGCUCGUAGGCGGCUUGUCGCGUCGGUUGUGAAAGCCCGGGGCUUAACCCCGGGUCUGCAGUCGAUACGGGCAGGCUAGAGUUCGGUAGGGGAGAUCGGAAUUCCUGGUGUAGCGGUGAAAUGCGCA
RNAcentral lists this ribosomal RNA (594 nucleotides) under Streptomyces sp. 123(2009). RNAcentral describes it as "bacterial SSU rRNA". It matches the Rfam family "Bacterial small subunit ribosomal RNA", at positions 85 to 692 of the family's 1533-position model. The record is from RNAcentral. Lineage: Bacteria; Bacillati; Actinomycetota; Actinomycetes; Kitasatosporales; Streptomycetaceae.